UGCCUGGUAGUGGGGGAUAACGUCCGGAAACGGACGCUAAUACCGCAUACGUCCUACGGGAGAAAGCAGGGGACCUUCGGGCCUUGCGCUAUCAGAUGAGCCUAGGUCGGAUUAGCUAGUUGGUGGGGUAAUGGCUCACCAAGGCGACGAUCCGUAACUGGUCUGAGAGGAUGAUCAGUCACACUGGAACUGAGACACGGUCCACGCUCGUACGGCGGGCAGCAGUGGGGAAGGGUGGACAAUGGGCGAAAGCCU
RNAcentral lists this ribosomal RNA (255 nucleotides) under uncultured bacterium. Its description in RNAcentral is "partial 16S ribosomal RNA". It matches the Rfam family "Bacterial small subunit ribosomal RNA", at positions 127 to 384 of the family's 1533-position model. The record is from RNAcentral.